UUGGUCUCCCUCUUUUGUUUUCUUUUUCUUCCUCAUUUAUUCUGUUUUCAUAACAAAUCCUCAAAUAUAUCUCUUCAAUCCAAAUCUCCUCCCAUUUCUUUAUCGGUUCUCUCUCUCGGUCACUUUUCAAUUUCUUUCCUCUCAUUAUUUUAGCUUUGGGUAACAAAAGGCCAAAAAAAAGCACACACCCUGCACCGUUUUUUGUGGUUUUUGAAAUUCGCUGCUUCAUCGGGGACUGAUUUUGAGGUAUGAAUCUUGAACCUUAUCUUUGUCUGUCUUUGCCUUUUGAUUUCUAUUUUGGUUUCAGAUCAAUGUUUUUUUUACUUCUAUUUCAGUGGGUUCAUUUCUCUGCCGUUUCUUUGUUGCGAUUUUUGCAACCCCUGCUUCAUCCGAGACUGAUUUCAGGUAUGAAUCUUUGCUUCAACAUUUGUCUUUUUGCUUUUUGCUUUUUUCAUCUCUGGUUUGGAGUGUGGUGUGUUUAGCUAUGUGGGUUUGGGGUGUUGUUGGUUCAGGUUUGCAGUCUUUGGUCUGACCAAAGUAAAGUCUCUUCUUUCCUCUCCUUUUUAUCUCACUUAAGAUAAUGCUUUAAACUUUUUGGACUGGCUUUCAUUCUAAUAUGACUGUCCACAUAGCCUACUGGUCUCGUGUAUAAAAAACUGCUUUCUAGUCUGAUGUCCUGAAUAAGAAAAAUCUCUGAUUAGCUGGAUUUUAAGUACUGUCAAACCAGUAUCCCAAUUGCUUAGUCAACCAUCAGGAAAUAGGCACACAUGAAUGACUUUAAUUAAAUAAUUCCCUGGGAAAUUCUACAAUAAUUAGUUUAAACGAUCGGUCUGAGGUCUCUGCUUGUAAAUCAUUGAAUGAGAUAGAUCUGUCCUUGGAAUAUGUAGUACUCUUCCUGUCCAGAAAUGACUGUCUUUAAUUUGUAUCUUUCUUGCCCUGUAGCAGCAAGAAGUACACAUUCAUGGAUUCCUUUCUAUCUCUUUUGCAGGUGCAAAAUCUAUAACAAAUAGAAGUUGAAACCGCUUAUGGUAUUGGAAUUUUUGAAAACAUGGGCUCAUUCCGUCUCAUUCAUCUCCACUUUCUUUUUAAAAAAAUGGAUGUUUUCUUUUGGUCUCCGGUCUCUUUCUUUUCAUUCGUCCAUGGCUAUUUUAUUGUUAAUCCUGUCGUCGCUCUUUACAUUCCUGUUUUAGUUUCAGAUAUAUGCUUAUUUUUACUUCUAUUUUCAGAGUGUCUUUGUCACGAUUUUUAGUUUUCACCUUUAGAGAAUCACUGUUUCGUUCCUUAGUAGAAACGAUAGAUGUUAGCUGGUAGACAUCACUGUUUUGUUCUGUUUAUUCUUUUUGUUUGUUUCCUGUGUACUUUUGUCAGAUAUUUUGAUUUUCAGCUUUAGAGAAAGUCUAUUUCUUUCAGUAUUUGAAACUAUGGAUCACGUUCCUUAUUCCUUUAUUCUCUCCUGUUUUUCUCUUAUUUCUAACGUUCUUUUCACCUUUUUCAAUUACUGUUUUUCCCUUGUUUUCAAAUAUUUUUCUUCUCUCCUGUUCUCUUUCUCCCAGCCUCCUUUCUUGUCCUUUCUUUCUUCAUACACACAAAGAUGGUACACUAGGUAGAGGCUUUUCGUGAGAGAAAUCCCAAGUUUUGUUUGCUGUUUCUGUUAUUUGUGAUUUUUGAAAUCCCCUAAUUCAUCGGAUAUUGAUUUUAGGGAUGAAUAUGUAUUUGUCUCUUUCCUUUUCAUCUCUGUUUUUAGUUUCAAAUCUAUACUUCUUUCUACUAAUAUUUUCAGUGGACUUUUGCCAGGGUUUUCGGUUAACGAGUGAUGGGAGGCAAUCUGACCCUUUUUGCAUAUGCAUUGUAAGUUGCUUCGAUUGUGAAAGUCUCUAAAUCUUUGUGUUCUCCUUUUGAAGCUUAUUUGUGAUCCAUUCUUUUGCUCGGGCCACAGCUUUGGUUCUGUUUUUAUUUUAUAGUAUUUUGGGUAGGGUUUUUU
RNAcentral lists this long non-coding RNA (1981 nucleotides) under Gossypium barbadense (sea-island cotton). RNAcentral's name for it is "long non-coding RNA (GBAR_LNC023523)". The record is from RNAcentral. Lineage: Eukaryota; Viridiplantae; Streptophyta; Magnoliopsida; Malvales; Malvaceae.